AGGGCUAGAGAUGUGAGUCGUCUUUCAGGAGGCUGUACCUCAAACCUGGAGUAGGUAAGAUCUUUCAGAAACAGAGACUGGGAAAGGACCAAGGAUUGGAAGUGCUUACCCUCAAGGGCUGUCCAGAGGAAGGAAAGUAAGGAUUAAUCAGAUCAGUUAAAGAACAAACGUUCAAAAAGAAAACUCGUUUCAUUAGAAAAUGAAGGUAAUGACACCUCCCUCUGGGGAAGCUGCUUUGGAAGUACCUAAAGCUUUGGGGGACGAGUAAGGAGGGAAUGAAAACUUACAAAGAGGAAGAAAGAAAAUGAUCUUCCUGGACAGUUGAAAACUGCCUCUCCCACUUCACAAGACAGCCCGUCUUCUCGUCCUCUUGCCUUUAAAUUGUCACACUUCCCUAACUUAUUAAUACACAUCUGCUCAAAUUGUGGUUUCCGUCUCAACUGACCCAUUUGGCAGGAGUGACAGGCUGCAAAUCGUGAUCUGAGCCAACAUCAUCUGAUUUUUUACCAUUGCUAUCUCGAGCAUACACCUGUCACAGAGAACGCCAGGUGUUAAGCAACAGAUGUUCCUGGGAUUCACAAAGAAAAACAGGUAACUGCUCCUCUAUGCUUCUUAGCAUAAAAACACAAUAAUAGCCAUUAAUAUAUUUAAUAGAAGGGACCAGAGGAUCAGCCCAUUUGUGGAAUAUAUGUAUCUUGUUCCAAGCAAGUCAGUAGAGCUAAGAAUAUGGGCUUUUUUUUUUUUUUUUUUUUUUUUGAGAAUAAGUGUUAACAGUGCUCUGAAUAAAAGGUGACUCUAUGCCACUGUUGUUUCAAAGUGCAGUACAGGGACCACAUGCAUCAAAAUUACCUGGGCUGCAUAUUAAAGUACAGAUUUCUGGGCCAGUCUCAGAGAUUCAGAGUUAGAAGACCUGGCACUUAAUCAUUUCCCCAAAGCACACUGAAAAUAUUGAAUCCUAUUAGUAUCUCAUCUUUUCAUGCAAUUCUCAACACUCCCUGUUCUUUCUUCUAGACUGUUUGAAUUCUAGGUCAGACCUUCACAAAUUUCCCUCCUGCCAUGCCUCUGGAAUGAGCCCAACCAUGAGUAUUCCCAAUGCCAUCCUCUCUUCCUUCCAUCCCCAGCCCUGCACUCCCCACUUCUGCUGAAGCUGUAGGGACACAAAAUCCAAGGGUGGAGCAAAAAAUAGAGCCUAAGAAUCACCCCAACCAAGGGCCAGCAACAGGUUCUGAGUUGAAGGCAGGGUAGCUGGGAAGCCCAAAUGGUUGAAGAUGCAGGGAAGUGUAGUGAGUGUGGUGGAAAGGGGGCAGCCAAGCCAGUAUCCCAAAGCACCCUGUGGCUGCCACACACUGCAGUGAGGCCAAGUUUCAAGACCCAAGGAUGGAAAAGAUUAGAUCAUACCCUUUUGUCAUAUGUCAGUAAGAAAAUUAAAAGGAUUAUACAAUUCAGAGUGUGGUAAGAGGCUUACAACAGAAGAGAGUUUUGAGUCAAAAAAUUUUAACUACCUUAAAAUUUAAUAUAUUCCCUAUCACUCAACAGAGAUUUAGUUCUUGCCAUUUAGUCUGUUGCAUUUAAAAUGAAUUCUGUUGUGUUUUAGAAGUCAACUUGGAUUCGUUCAAUGAAUAUUUAUCAAUGCCUGCAGGGGAUACAAUGUUCAGCAAAAACUGACUUGGUCUCUGCCCUUAGAGAGUUUAUAUUCCCACAGGGAAGAGAGUGGUUGAGUAAAUAAUCACAUUAAAAAAAGCAUUAUUGCAAACAGAGGUAAGUGUUACGACAGUGAGGUUCAGGGUAUUAUAAAGAUAUAUUACAGGAGUACCUGUCCUAGUCUGGGAAGGUCGGGGGUGGUGCGGCAAGAAGGUGUCCCUGCAGAAGUGACAUGUGGUCUAAGAACUGAAGAAUGAGCAAGUUAAUCAGACUUGGUGGGAAGAGCAUUUCAGACAGAGGAAACAGCAUUUUUCCUCUGCAGUGGGUUGAAGAUGUCCACAUGAAAGCAAGCAAGUGGUCCUGAGUACAGAGAACAGAGAGAAGGAGAUUCGCAUGAGGCUGGAGCUACAGGCAGAGGUCAGACUUUGCAGGGCCUUGCUGGUCCAGCUAAGCAGACAGUUCUUUAUCUAAGAACAACGAGAACCAUGUGAAGCAGGGGAUGAUAUGGUCAGUUUGCAUUUUAAAAAGUCCUCUUAUACUGCAGUGUCAAGAACAGACGAAGAGGGCCAAGGUUGGAAGUGAGAACACCACUCAGGGGUCUAUGGAACCGGGUCAGAUGAAUGAUAACCGUGGCUUGGGCAAAGCGGGUGGCAGUGGAGAUGGGGAGAAGAAGACUGCUUUGAGACACAUUUCGGAGGUAUCAGUGACAGGACUCAAUAAUGGAUUUGAUACAGGAUUAAAGGAGAGGAGAGGGAUGAGUCAGGAAUUAUGCCUAGGUGUCUAGCUCGUACCACUAAAUGGAGGACUCUGUCCUUCCCUGAUGGAGGGAACACUUAAGAGGACUGGGUUUGGAGGGGAAAAUAAUUAUGUUAACUUUUGGAUAUGCUUAGCUUGAAGUGUUUCUGAGACAUCCGAAUGGAGAUCUGGAGGAGGGACCUGAAGUUCAGGAGUCAUCAUGCUUUGAUGGUAAUUGCACUCGUAAGCGUGGAUGAGAUCACUUAGAGAUUCCAUGUAACCCAUGCAAUACAGAGUGGUGAUUGAGGGCAGGGGUCCUGGAGUAAAACUGCCUGGAUUUGCAGCCCAGCUCGGUUUCCUCCUAACUGUGCACCCAUGAGGAAAUGGAGCAAAUACUCUAAACCAAAUUUUCCUAUCUAUAAAACAGAGACAAUAAUAUUUCCUACCUUAUAACACUGUUGGGAAUAUGAAAUGGCAUGAGGAAUUUAAAACUCUUAGCAUGGUUCUCAGAAUCUAGUAACUCUUUUAUAAACCAGUGUAGACUUUCCUUCUUCCACCCAGGGCUAAGCCUUGUGGAAAUCCAAUGUUUAAUGACUGGAUACAGAAGGAUGAAGAACAACCGCAUUACAGUCUGAAUCUGUGCUGUCCAAAUCCACCCACCAGAGAAACUAGGUCAGCAGCUGUAUCUGGAGUCUGCUGGGGUGGGUUAUCCCUUUUCAAGCAGAUAGAAAGGGAGGCAAGAGUCCUUGAAGGGAACCCAAAAUCAAAGGCCUGGUUCAAGGAAUAAAAGGAGAUAGAGAGUAGGGGACAAUAAAGCAGAGUCAGGAACAGGCUGGAAAUAGCCCAGGAACAGGUCAGAAAUGCAGGAGCGAGAGACUGGGAACUGCCUGCUAACUAUGGGAUGCCCAGAGCAUCUUACUGAAGAUAGAGGGACAAGAUGGGAGAAGCCACAGGAUUUCAUACCAUUCUUAGGUAGAUAGAUGCCUGCUGCUCAGAACCACUUACCUCUAAAAAUAAUUAAAAUUGUUCUAUACAUAAACAAUGAAAUAAUAGAAUUUGGUAGCCCUUCUAGUUUAAGAGUGUCCUGUGUUAUAUAAGUUAAGCCAUGACACAUUAUGAAAUUCUGAUACUUAUAUAUGAUGUUAAUAUGUUACUUUAAAAAACAUUCUCUAUAAUUUUCAAUUACUGUUAUUGUUUUGGGAUAUAUCAUACAGGAGGUAUUUACUUUAUCCAAAACGCAGUUCACAGCCACAUUCAAAACGUUCUAAAAAUGUUUAUCAAGAUGAUGAUAAUGACGAUGAUAAUAGUGAUAUCCUCCAUGUCAUUAUUAAUGUUGUCCAGAGAUAAUAGGAUCUGGUCAAAUGUGAUACCUGUGCUAUAAAAUAUAUAUAUAUAUAUAUAUAUAUAUAUAUAUAUAUAUAAAGUUUGUGUGUGUGUGUGUGGAGAGAGAGAGAGGAUCAUGCAAUGGCAAAAAACUUAAUUAAAAAUUGAAGCCAAAUAUAUAGCAAUCGAAUUUGCAUUAUUAAAGUAUUGAUAUUGGCUGCUGCUCCUAGAAGUCUAUUCUCAUUAUUAUGAUAGCUUCUGUUUCUCCCAUUAGAUUGAUGAAUUGCUGAAGGAAGAAAAAAGUGAAUUCGUUUCAGUAAGUGAAAAUCAUUUCAGUGAGCAUGAAUUUCUUUUGGUCCAGCCCCAAUACUAAAAUAGUCACAGGGUGAAUAUCAAAUGGUGUCUAGCUCAGGCUAUUUUCAGUCAAAGGCAAACAUGCAAUGAGGUUCAAAGGAAGAAACAUUAUUACCUGAAAUUUAACAGAGAUCUUGGGGAAUAUUUAAAUAGACUCAAUCUACUUUUAUUUAUUUAUUUAUUUUUUCCGGAGUAGAAAUGUUGUUCUGAAAGUUCCUCAGGCUGACAUGGUCUGUUUACUUAUCGAUUGCAUGUUCCUCACUGUGCCAGCAGCAUUCUAGUCCCCGGGAUCAGUUUUGAACAUAGCUUUUUAGUUUUUUAUAUUAGGACACUGUAAUGUAUUAAAGGCAGGCAGAAAGUGAAAAGUAGCUAUCUCUACACACACACCCACAGGCACACCCAUUCCUCCAUGAUAUCCUCCCCUCCCAUCUCCUUGCUGCCCUGCCUCUCUUCAGGGAUGCUCCCGUUCUAUUGGAGUUUGGGGGGCAGGGUAAAAAUCACUCAUCCAAUCCUCACCUUCCAAUUCCACGCAGUUAAGAACUUGGCAAAAGGAGCAACUGGAGAACCAGAGCACAGCAGCAGCUUUACCAGCAGUAAAGCCGGAUAGGGUAACACUGUGACGUCCAAGCAGAGGAUCAGUUUUCUGAUAGGGCCAGAAAACACAGGGCGCUUUGUUAACCUGCACGGAAGUUCAGCCCGGACCUCCUAGUUCUCUGCUCAGUAUCUAUACCUGGGGAUCCACUGGACCAUGACUUAUUACCCACCUGCAAGUGGAGAAGCAAGAACAAGUCACUUAGCUGGACCCAUCAGUGACAAGCUAACCUCUUGGAGACUUGAGAUAGGCACGUGCAGCUCCUAGGAGCACUUGGGUAUAAGAAACCAGGAGAAAAAGAACAGUGACCUAUCAACACUUAACUUUGCCCAAUAAGGAAAUGUGGCGAGUAGGUGGGACACUUUCCCUAGUCUCACCAAUCAGAAGACCAUCUUCCUCCAAGAGAAGAACUGAGGAAGGUGGGAAGGGCAGGGCUAUAGAACAUUUCCCACCAGGGUCAUUGACCAUUCCGGAAGCAUGUAGAGAAACUGUUAUUUUUCAUUAUUUCUCCAGUGGAAAUAAUACACCAAAAUACUUUUUCCUUUCAUAUCAAGCACUGGUUAUUGAUGACCCAGAAAUCCCAGGAUGGAAAAGAGUUUAUUGAGGUCAAGUUUAAUUAUUCAUGUUCACCAUUUUGGUGAUUAUUAACCCUCUUUUCAACUGGCAGCAAAGGAUUUCUGGAGAUCAGCUAAUUCAGUGUCUCUGAAGAAGCUGGUACAGUUUGUUGUAAAUGUGUUUUGCUUCACAGACAAUGGUGCUGUGAUGGAAUGGUUUGUCCAUGAGUCUGUGAAUAAAUGAAUAAAUCACACACCUGUUAAAUUGUGUGCUGCACAUAAUGAAAGGGUUGUGAUGUGGGGGUUUUUUUUUUAAAACAAAAUGUUGCUUCUCUCCAUUUGCUGCUCCUAAACAAUUUCUCAGUGUAAUGUCUUGUGUAUCUCCCCUUUUAGUGAAGCUCAAAGUACUUCAUGGCGUUCAUAUUUAUGAAUUCCAAUUCUAUUUAUUCUCCCCAUCAACUUUCAGAGUUGCAAAUAUAAACACUGCAAUUUGGCAUAUGAGCAAAUUAAAAUAUAUCAACAUUCUGAUCCUGUACUAGCUCAUACUGUAAGUCAAAUAGGAAGAAGUAGAAGUGGUAGGUCCUGAACCGGUGCCAGGGCAUGCCACUCAUCUGGGUGCCCUGUGGAAGGUGUGCAGGACCCUGGAGGGACUCCCCUAAGCCUUGGAGCCUCAGGCACCUAUUCAGGAACAUCUACAAUGGAUGAGAUCUCUACGCCAGGAACAUGGCCAUUUUGUCCACUGACCCAGGCUAAAGGAAGGAGGAAACCAUGAAGAUGCUGUGUUUAAAAACUUGUGCAUGGAUAGCUUCUGAAUCUUCAGUUAUAUCUUGUAGCUUUAAAGCAAUUUCGUCUUCAAGGCUAGGGAAAUGUAUUCCCUAUGAAGGAGGAUAUUACAUCUUUAUCUAAGCUAAGCAAUGAUUGCAACACUCAUUUGGUCCUACUUUGUACAUGUUAUCUCCCAAGAUAGGCAGGGAAAAGAAUAAAGGCUUUGGAGCCAGACAAUCUGGCUUUGAAUUCAUGCUCCACAUUCUAGUUAUUGACCUAGCUACUUAACUUACCUGAUUUGUUUAUUCAUCUUAACAUAGGCAUUUUUUAGAUUCCAAAUGGAAUAGAUUCUAAAAAAUACAACUAGUGAAUAUAACAAUAAAAAGAGGCCGACU
Molecule: long non-coding RNA, 6359 nt
Organism: Aethalodelphis obliquidens (Pacific white-sided dolphin)
Lineage: Eukaryota; Metazoa; Chordata; Mammalia; Artiodactyla; Delphinidae
Exons: 3
Source: RefSeq, a predicted model, not a curated record